RNAcentral lists this ribosomal RNA (441 nucleotides) under uncultured bacterium. Its description in RNAcentral is "partial 16S ribosomal RNA". It matches the Rfam family "Bacterial small subunit ribosomal RNA", at positions 338 to 795 of the family's 1533-position model. The record is from RNAcentral.
CCUACGGGUGGCAGCAGUGGGGAAUAUUGCACAAUGGGGGAAACCCUGAUGCAGCAACGCCGCGUGAGUGAGGAAGGAUUUCGGGAUGGAAAGCUCUAUCAGCAGGGAAGAGAAAAGAAGGUACCGGAAAAAGAAGCGCCGGCUAACUACGUGCCAGCAGCCGCGGUAAGACGUAGGGGGCAAGCGUGAUCCGGAUUUACGGGGUGUAAAGGGAGCGUAGAUGGGAAGGCAAGGCAGACGUGCAAACCCAAGGCUCAACCAUGGGACUGCUUUUGAAACUGUCAAACUAGAGUACGGGAGAGGUAAGCGGCAUUCCUCGUGUAGCGGUGACAUGCGUAGAUCUUAGGAGGAACACCAGUGGCGACGGCGUCUUACUGGACCGAAACUGCCGUUGCGGCUCGAAAGCGUGGGGAGCACACAGGAUUAGAUACCCUUGUAGUC